CCUGGCUCACGACGAACGCUGGCGGCGUGCUUAACACAUGCAAGUCGAACGGAAAGGCCCUUCGGGGUACUCGAGUGGCGAACGGGUGAGUAACACGUGGGUGAUCUGCCCUGCACUUUGGGAUAAGCCUGGGAAACUGGGUCUAAUACCGAAUAGGAUCAUGCUCUUCAUGGGGUGUGGUGGAAAGCUUUUGCGGUGUGGGAUGGGCCCGCGGCCUAUCAGCUUGUUGGUGGGGUAAUGGCCUACCAAGGCGACGACGGGUAGCCGGCCUGAGAGGGUGACCGGCCACACUGGGACUGAGAUACGGCCCAGACUCCUACGGGAGGCAGCAGUGGGGAAUAUUGCACAAUGGGCGCAAGCCUGAUGCAGCGACGCCGCGUGAGGGAUGACGGCCUUCGGGUUGUAAACCUCUUUCACCAGGGACGAAGCGCAAGUGACGGUACCUGGAGAAGAAGCACCGGCCAACUACGUGCCAGCAGCCGCGGUAAUACGUAGGGUGCGAGCGUUGUCCGGAAUUACUGGGCGUAAAGAGCUCGUAGAUGGUUUGUCGCGUUGUUCGUGAAAACUCACAACUCAAUUGUGGGCGUGCGGGCGAUACGGGCAGACUAGAGUACUGCAGGGGAGACUGGAAUUCCUGGUGUAGCGGUGGAAUGCGCAGAUAUCAGGAGGAACACCGGUGGCGAAGGCGGGUCUCUGGGCAGUAACUGACGCUGAGGAGCGAAAGCGUGGGGAGCGAACAGGAUUAGAUACCCUGGUAGUCCACGCCGUAAACGGUGGGUACUAGGUGUGGGUUCCUUCCUUGGGAUCCGUGCCGUAGCUAACGCAUUAAGUACCCCGCCUGGGGAGUACGGCCGCAAGGCUAAAACUCAAAGGAAUUGACGGGGGCCCGCACAAGCGGCGGAGCAUGUGGACUAAUUCGAUGCAACGCGAAGAACCUUACCUGGGUUUGACAUGCACAGGACGCCCGGCAGAGAUGUCGGUUCCCUUGUGGCCUGUGUGCAGGUGGUGCAUGGCUGUCGUCAGCUCGUGUCGUGAGAUGUUGGGUUAAGUCCCGCAACGAGCGCAACCCUUGUCCUAUGUUGCCAGCGGGUUAUGCCGGGGACUCGUAGGAGACUGCCGGGGUCAACUCGGAGGAAGGUGGGGAUGACGUCAAGUCAUCAUGCCCCUUAUGUCCAGGGCUUCACACAUGCUACAAUGGCCGGUACAAAGGGCUGCGAUGCCGUGAGGUGGAGCGAAUCCUUUCAAAGCCGGUCUCAGUUCGGAUCGGGGUCUGCAACUCGACCCCGUGAAGUCGGAGUCGCUAGU
RNAcentral lists this ribosomal RNA (1305 nucleotides) under uncultured bacterium. Its description in RNAcentral is "bacterial SSU rRNA". It matches the Rfam family "Bacterial small subunit ribosomal RNA", at positions 18 to 1339 of the family's 1533-position model. The record is from RNAcentral.